GGGCGAUUAACUCAGUGGUGAGAGUGCCAUCUUCACACGGUGGAAGUCACAGGUUCAAAUCCCGUAUCGCCCACCA
RNAcentral lists this transfer RNA (76 nucleotides) under Desulfomicrobium sp. Its description in RNAcentral is "tRNA-Val". It matches the Rfam family "tRNA". From Rfam's summary of the family: Transfer RNA (tRNA) molecules are approximately 80 nucleotides in length. RNAcentral also lists the same sequence under 10 other names. Lineage: Bacteria; Pseudomonadati; Thermodesulfobacteriota; Desulfovibrionia; Desulfovibrionales; Desulfomicrobiaceae. The record is from RNAcentral.